RNAcentral lists this ribosomal RNA (495 nucleotides) under uncultured bacterium. RNAcentral describes it as "partial 16S ribosomal RNA". It matches the Rfam family "Bacterial small subunit ribosomal RNA", at positions 29 to 506 of the family's 1533-position model. The record is from RNAcentral.
ACGAACGCUGGCGGCGUGCCUAAUACAUGCAAGUUGAGCGCUGAAGGUUGGUACUUGUACCAACUGGAUGAGCAGCGAACGGGUGAGUAACGCGUGGGGAAUCUGCCUUUGAGCGGGGGACAACAUUUGGAAACGAAUGCUAAUACCGCAUAAAAACUUUAAACACAAGUUUUAAGUUUGAAAGAUGCAAUUGCACCACUCAAAGAUGAUCCCGCGUUGUAUUAGCUAGUUGGUGAGGUAAAGGCUCACCAAGGCGAUGAUACAUAGCCGACCUGAGAGGGUGAUCGGCCACAUUGGGACUGAGACACGGCCCAAACUCCUACGGGAGGCAGCAGUAGGGAAUCUUCGGCAAUGGACGAAAGUCUGACCGAGCAACGCCGCGUGAGUGAAGAAGGUUUUCGGAUCGUAAAACUCUGUUGGUGGAGAAGAACGUUGGUGAGAGUGGAAAGCUCAUCAAGUGACGGUAACUACCCAGAAAGGGACGGCUAACUACGU